GUGGGGAAUCUUGCGCAAUGGGCGAAAGCCUGACGCAGCCAUGCCGCGUGAAUGAUGAAGGUCUUAGGAUUGUAAAAUUCUUUCACCGGGGACGAUAAUGACGGUACCCGGAGAAGAAGCUCCGGCUAACUUCGUGCCAGCAGCCGCGGUAAUACGAAGGGGGCUAGCGUUGCUCGGAAUUACUGGGCGUAAAGGGCGCGUAGGCGGACAGCUUAGUCAGACGUGAAAGCCCAGGGCUCAACCUUGGAAUUGCCUUUGAUACUGGCUGUCUUGAGUUUGGGAGAGGUGCGUGGAACUCCGAGUGUAGAGGUGAAAUUCGUAGAUAUUCGGAAGAACACCAGUGGCGAAGGCGACUCACUGGCCCAAUACUGACGCUGAGGCGCGAAAGCGUGGGGAGCAAACAGGAUUAGAAACCCUGGUAGUCC
Molecule: ribosomal RNA, 425 nt
Filed under: uncultured bacterium
Lineage: Bacteria
Description: partial 16S ribosomal RNA
Rfam family: Bacterial small subunit ribosomal RNA
Source: RNAcentral